RNAcentral lists this ribosomal RNA (253 nucleotides) under uncultured bacterium. RNAcentral's name for it is "partial 16S ribosomal RNA". It matches the Rfam family "Bacterial small subunit ribosomal RNA", at positions 524 to 776 of the family's 1533-position model. The record is from RNAcentral.
UACGUAGGGUGCAGGCGUUAAUCGGAAUUACUGGGCGUAAAGCGUGCGCAGGCGGUUUGCUAAGACAGGUGUGAAAUCCCCGGGCUUAACCUGGGGACUGCGCUUGUAACUGGCAAGCUAGAGUGUGGCAGAGGGGGGUGGAAUUCCAGGUGUAGCAGUGAAAUGCGUAGAGAUCUGGAGGAACACCGAUGGCGAAGGCAGCCCCCUGGGCUAACACUGACGCUCAUGCACGAAAGCGUGGGGAGCAAACAGG